Molecule: ribosomal RNA, 465 nt
Filed under: uncultured bacterium
Lineage: Bacteria
Description: partial 16S ribosomal RNA
Rfam family: Bacterial small subunit ribosomal RNA
Source: RNAcentral
CCUACGGGAGGCAGCAGUGGGGAAUAUUGCGCAAUGGGCGAAAGCCUGACGCAGCGACUCCGCGUGAGGGAUGAAGGUCUUCGGAUCGUAAACCUCUGUCAGCAGGGAAGAACGGUCACUGUGCUAAUCAGCAGUGAAUUGACGGUACCUGCAAAGGAAGCACCGGCUAACUCCGGGCCAGCAGCCGCGGUAAUACGGAGGGUGCGAGCGUUAAUCGGAAUUACUGGGCGUAAAGCGCUCGUAGGCGGUAUGUCAAGUCAAGGGUGAAAGCCCCGGGCUCAACGGGGGAACUGCAUUUGAGACUGGCAGACUGGAGUGUGGGAGAGGUGAGUGGAAUUCCAGGUGUAGGGGGGAAAUGCGUAGAUAUCUGGAGGAACACCAGUGGCGAAGGCGACUAACUGGCACAUAACUGACGCUGAGGAGCGAAAGCGUGGGUAGCAAACAGGAUUAGAUACCCCUGUAGUC